GUCCAUGGUCAUAUCACCCUGAACAUGCCUGAUCUCGUCUGAUCUUGGAAGCUGAGCAGGGUCAGGCCUGGUUAGUAUUUGGAUGGUAGAAAUGGCAGUGUCUCUUCAGAUUCAAAGAUGAGGGUCAUGGAGU
Molecule: ribosomal RNA, 133 nt
Organism: Aotus nancymaae (Ma's night monkey)
Lineage: Eukaryota; Metazoa; Chordata; Mammalia; Primates; Aotidae
Source: Ensembl